UCUUGAGGCAAUGGUCUGUGAACCACAUGGAGAAACAACCCAGUAUACAGUGUUUGUGGAGUUACUACGUCUUGUAGCUGGAUUGCGCCGCCAGCUGUUUGCAUUGUUUGGACAUCCUGCCGAAAGUGUGCGAGAAACAGUAGCUGUCAUUAUGCGAACAAUUGCUGAAGAAGAUGCAGUUGCAGCAGAAUCAAUGCGUGACGCUGCUUUGCGAGAUGGUGCACUACUGCGUCAUUUGUUGCAUGCACUAUACCUUCCUUCUG
Molecule: unclassified non-coding RNA, 263 nt
Filed under: Hevea brasiliensis (rubber tree)
Lineage: Eukaryota; Viridiplantae; Streptophyta; Magnoliopsida; Malpighiales; Euphorbiaceae
Source: RNAcentral